Molecule: signal recognition particle RNA, 266 nt
Filed under: Neobacillus niacini
Lineage: Bacteria; Bacillati; Bacillota; Bacilli; Caryophanales; Bacillaceae
Description: signal recognition particle sRNA large type
Rfam family: Bacterial large signal recognition particle RNA
About the family: The signal recognition particle (SRP) is a universally conserved ribonucleoprotein involved in the co-translational targeting of proteins to membranes. Archaeal SRP consists of a 7S RNA and homologues of the eukaryotic SRP19 and SRP54 proteins.
Source: RNAcentral
CCGUGCUAGACUGGGAGUUGGCGGUCCCUUAACCCGCAUUUCCGCCAUAGCGGGGUCGAAAACCUGCCUUUGGUUUGAGUAUGUAUGGUCUGCCUUGUGAAAAGUAGUGUUGACAAUUAGGUCCAACGCAAUAGAUUCCUACGAAUCGGGUCAGGUCCGGAAGGAAGCAGCCAUAAGUAGACACUUCUAUGUGCCGUUGGGCAGCCUAGUUUGAGCUAACUAUUACAAGUAACGCUUGGAUGCUCUUAUCCAUGUCAGGUGCACGG